GAGAAAGAUGGGGGGAGGCCUAACACAUGCAAGUCGAACGAACCUUUCGGGGUUAGUGGCGGACGGGUGAGUAACACGUGGGAACGUGCCUUUAGGUUCGGAAUAACUCAGGGAAACUUGUGCUAAUACCGAAUGUGCCCUUCGGGGGAAAGAUUUAUCGCCUUUAGAGCGGCCCGCGUCUGAUUAGCUAGUUGGUUGAGGUAAUGGCUCACCAAGGCGACGAUCAGUAGCUGGUCUGAGAGGAUGAUCAGCCACAUUGGGGCUGAGACACGGCCCAAACUCCUACGGGAGGCAGCAGUGGGGAAUCUUGCGCAAUGGGCGAAAGCCUGACGCAGCCAUGCCGCGUGAAUGAUGAAGGUCUUAGGAUUGUAAAAUUCUUUCACCGGGGACGAUAAUGACGGUACCCGGAGAAGAAGCCCCGGCUAACUUCGUG
RNAcentral lists this ribosomal RNA (433 nucleotides) under uncultured bacterium. Its description in RNAcentral is "partial 16S ribosomal RNA". It matches the Rfam family "Bacterial small subunit ribosomal RNA", at positions 31 to 507 of the family's 1533-position model. The record is from RNAcentral.